RNAcentral lists this long non-coding RNA (5474 nucleotides) under Cucumis sativus (cucumber). RNAcentral describes it as "long non-coding RNA (CSAT_LNC001545)". The record is from RNAcentral. Lineage: Eukaryota; Viridiplantae; Streptophyta; Magnoliopsida; Cucurbitales; Cucurbitaceae.
GAGAUUUGGCAAAUGAAUUGCAUGCAUUUUUGCAUGUAAUUAGGUUAUAAAUAGAGGUGUUUUCAAAUGUAGAAGGACUUUUGCCUCUUUUAUCAUUUUCAUCAUCUCAGUCAAAGGAAUAAAAGAUACCUUCUAACCCCCUUUUAUCUCCAUUACUUUCUACACCAAAAUUGAGUCUCACAACCCAAGUUCUUUAUUUAGAGGAUAGCGGUUGAGUACUAGUGGUGGUCUCGGUUUGAAUUGGUAAAAAGAUAUCAAACUUUUUGAAAGCUUCAAAGGUAAUAUUUCCUAAACCCUAAUUUGAUUAGUUUAUGGUUACAUGUUAAUUGUGGCAAUUAUGGUAGAAAUUCGAUUCUUUUUCCGCUGUGCAUGACUUAGUUCUAUCAGUCUGGGGCAUCACCGUUCGACUUUUGUGGGCAAGAAACAUCGAGACCACUCAGAAUCGGACCACCCAGUAGCUAGACGUGAACUUUUGAGGCCUCCGACCCUGUUCUAAGUCCGGCCAUUCCUUUCUAGGCCACUAUGUCUUUCUUUCGGCGUUUUGCGACGGAACCAAGAAACCAAGUCUAGGGCAUCACCGUUCGGCUUUUGUGGGCAAGAAACUUCGAGACCGCUCAGAAUCGGACCACCCAGUAGCUAGACGUCAACUUUUGAGGCCUCCGACCUCGUUCUCAGUACGGCCGUUCCUUUCUAGGCCACUGUGCCGUUCUUUCGGCGUUUUGGGACGGAACCAAGAAACCGAGUCUAGGGCAUCACCGUUCGGGUUUUGUCGGCAAGAAACUUCGAGACCGCUCAGAAUCGGACCACCCAGUAGCUAGACGUGAACUUUCGAGACCUCCGACCGCGUUCUAAGUCCGGCCGUUCCUUUCUAAGCCACUACGCCUUUCUUUCGGAGUUUUGGGACGGAACCAAGAAACCGAGUCUUGGGCAUCACCGUUCGGCUUUUUUUGGCAAGAAACUUGGAGACCGCUCAGAAUCGGACCACCUAGUAGCUAGACGUUAACUUUUGAGGCCUCCGACCCCGUUCUAAGUCUGACCGUUCCGUUCUAGGCCACUCUGGCUUUCUUUCGACGUUUUGGGACGAACCAAGAAACUGAGUCUGGGCAUCACCGUUCGGCUUUUUUGGGCAAGAAACUUAGAGACCGCUCAGAAUCGGACCACCCAGUAGCUAGACGUUAACUUUUGAGGCCUCCGACCCCGUUCUAAGUCCGACCGUUCCGUUCUAGGCCACUGUGCCUUUCUUUCGGCGUUUUGGGACGAAACCAAGAAUUCGAGUCUGGGCAUCACCGUUCGGCUUCUGUGGGCAAGAAACUUCGAGACCGCUCAGAAUCGGACCACCCAGUAGCUAGACGUUAACUUUUGAGGCCUCCGACCCCGUUCUAAGUCUGACCGUUCCGUUUUAAGCCACUGUGCCUUUCUUUCGGCGUUUUGGGACGAAACCAAGAAUUCGAGUCUGGGGCAUCACCGUUCGGCUUCUGCAGGCAAGAAACUUCGAGAUCGCUCAGAAUCGGACCACUCAGUAGCUAGACGUGAACUUUCGAGGCCUCCGACCCCGUUCUAAGUCUGGCCGUUCCUUUCUAAGCCACUGUGCCUUUCUUUCGGCAUUUUGGGAUGAAACCAAGAAGUCGAGUCUAGGCAUCACCGUUCGGCUUUUUUGGUCAAGAAAUUUGGAGAUCGCUCAGAAUCGGACAACCCAGUAGCUAGACGUUAACUUUUGAGGCCUCCGACCCCGUUCUAAGUCCGACCGUUCCAUUCUAGGCCACUGUGCCUUUCUUUUGGCGUUUUAGGACGAAACCAAGAAUUCGAGUCUAGGGCAUCACCGUUCGGCUUUUGUGGGCAAGAAACUUUGAGACCACGCAGAAUCGGACCACCCAGUAGCUAGACGUGAACUUUCGAGGCCUCCGACGCCGUUCUAAGUCCGGUCGUUCCUUCCUAGGCCAUUGUGCCUUUCUUUCGGCCUUUUGGGACGAAACCAAGAAACCGAGUCUGGGCAUCCCCGUUCGGCUUUUUUGGGCAAGAAACUCUUAGACGACUCAGAAUCGGACCACCCAGUAGCUAGACGUGAACUUUCGAGGCCGACCGCGCGUUCUAAGUUAGUCCAGUCGUUCCUUUCUAGGCCAUUGUGCCUUUGUUUCGGUUUUGGGACGAAGAAGAAACCGAGUAUGGGGCAUCACCGUAAGGCUUUUGUGGCAAGAAACUCUGAGACGACUCAGAAUCGGAACACCCAGUAGCUAGACGUGAACUUCGAGGCCUCCCGACGCCGUUCUAAGUCUGGGUCGUUCCUUUCUAGGCCAUUGUACCUUUCUUUGGCGUUUUGGAAGGAACCAAGAACCGAGUCUGGGCAUCACCGAGUUCGGCUUUUUGUGGCAAGAAACUUCGAGACCGCUCAGAAUCGGACCACCUAGUAGCUAGACGUGAACUUUCGAGGCCUCCGACCCCGUCUUAUGUUCGGUCGUUCCUUUCUAGGCCAUUGUAUCUUUCUUUCGGCUUUUGGGACGGAACCAAGAAACCGAGUCUGGGGCAUCACCGUUCGGCUUUUCUGGGCAAGAAACUUCGAGACCACUCAGAAUCGGACCACCCAGUAGGUAGACGUAAACUUUCGAAGCCUCCGACCCCGUUCUAAGUCUGGUCGUUCCUUUCUAGGCCAUUGUGCUUUCUUUCGGGGUUUUGGGACGGAACCAAGAAACCGAGUCUGGGCAUCACCGUUCGGCUUUUGUGGGCAAGAAACUUCGAGACGCUCAGAAUCGGACCACCUAGUAGCUAGACGUGAACUUUCGAGGCUCGACCCCGUUCUAAGUUCGGUCGUUCCUUUCUAGGCCAUUGUAUCUUUCUUUCGGCUUUGGGACGGAACCAAGAAACCGAGUCUGGGGCAUCACGUUCGGCUUUUCUGGGCAAGAAACUUCGAGACCACUCAGAAUCGGAACCCAGUAGCUAGACGUAAACUUUCGAAGCCUCCGACCCCGUUCUAAGUCCGGUCGUUCCUUUCUAGGCCAUUGUGCCUUUCUUUCGGGGUUUUGGGACGGAACCAAGAAACCGAGUCUGGGGCAUCACCGUAAGGCUUUUGUGAGCAAGAAACUUCGAGACCACUCAAAAUCAGACCACCCAGUAGCUAGACGUGAACUUUCGAGGCCUCCGACUUCGUUCUAAGUCCGGUCGUUCCUUUCUAGGCCAUUGUGCCUUUCCUUCGGCGUUUUGGACGGAACAAGAAACUGUCUGAGGCAUCACGUUCGGCUUUUGUGGGCAAGAGACUUCGAGACCACUCAGAAUCGGACCACGUAGCUAGACGUGAACUUUCGAGGCCUCCGACCCGUUCUAAGUCCUGUCUUUCCUUUCUAGGCAUUGUGCUUUCUUUCGACGUUUUGGGACGGAACCAAGAGACCGAUUCUGGGCAUCACCGUUCGGCUUUUGUGGGCAAGAAACUUCGAGACCACUCAGAAUCGGACACUAGUAGCUAGACAUGAACUUUCGAGGCUCGACCGUUCUAAGUUCGGUCGUUCCUUUCUAGGCCAUUGUAUCUUUCUUUCGGCUUUUGGGACGGAACCAAGAAACCGAGUAUGGGGCAUCACCGUUCGGCUUUUCUGGGCAAGAAACUUCGAGACCACUCAAAAUCGGACCACCCAGUAGCUAGACGUAAACUUUCAAAGCCUCUGACCCCGUUCUAAGUCCGGUCGUUCCUUUCUAGGCCAUUGUGCCUUUCUUUCGGGGUUUUGGGACGGAACCAAGAAACCGAGUCUAGGGCAUCACCGUAAGGCUUUUGUGGGCAAGAAACUUCGAGACCACUCAAAAUCGGACCACCCAGUAGCUAGACGUGAACUUUCGAGGCCUCCGACUCGUUCUAAGUCCGAUCGUUCCUUUCUAGGCCAUUGUGCCUUUCUUUCGGCGUUUUGGGACGGAACAUGAAAGAGUCUGGGGAUCACCGUUCGGCUUUUGUGGCCAGAAACUUCGAGACCACUCAGAAUCGGACAACCUAGUAGCUAGACGUGAACUUUCGAGGCCUCCGACUUCGUUCUAAGUCCGCUCGUUCCUUUCUAGGCCAUUGUGCCUUUCCUUCGGCGUUUUGGAACGGAACCAAGAAACAGAUUCUGAGGCAUCACCGUUCGGCUUUUGUGGUCAAGAAUCUUCGAGACCACUCAGAAUCGGACCACUCAGUAGCUAGACGUGAACUUUCAAGGCCUUCGACCGAGUUCUAAGUCCGGUCGUUCCAGACCAUUGUGCCUUUCUUUUGGCAUUUUGGGACGAAACCAAGAAACCGAGUCUGGAGCAUCACCGUUCGGCUUUUGUGGGCAAGAAACUUCGAGACCACUCAGAAUCGGACCACCCAGUAGCUAGACGUGAACUUUCAAGGCCUUCGACCCCGUUCUAAGUCCGGUCUUUCCUUUCUCGGCCAUUGUGCCUUUCUUUCGGCGUUUUGGGACGAAACCAAGAAACCGAGUCUGGGGCAUCACCGUUCGGCUUUUGUUGGCAAGGAACUUUGAGACAACUCAGAAUCAGACCACCCAGUAGCCAGACGUGAACUUUCGAGGCCUCCGACCCCGUUCUAUGUCCGGUCGUUCCUUUCUAGGCCAUUGUGCCUUUCUUUCGGCGUUUUGGGACGAAACCAAGAAACCGAGUCUGGGGCAUCACCGUUCGGCUUUUGUUGGCAAGAAACUUCGAGAUCACCCAGUACCUAGACGUAAACUUUCGAGGCCUCCGACCCAAUUCUAAGUCCGGUCCUUCCUUUCUACGCCAUUGUGCUUUUCUUUCGGCGUUUUGGGACGGAACCAAGAAACCGAGUCUGGGGCAUCACCGUUCAGCUUUUGUGGGCAAGAAAAUUCGAGAUCACCCAGUACCUAGACGUGAACUUUCGAGGCCUCCGACCCCAUUCUAAGUCCGGUCGUUCCUUUCUAGGCCAUUGUGCCUUUCUUUCGACGUUUUGGGACGGAACCAAGAAACCGAGUCUGGGUCAUCACCGUUUGGCUUUUGUGGGCAAGAAACUUCGAGAUCACCCAGUACCUAAACGUGAACUUUUGAGGUCUCCGACCCCGUUCUAAGUCCGGUCGUUCCUUUCUAGGCCAUGGUGCCUUUCUUUCGGCGUUUUGGGACGGAACCAAGAAACUGAGUCUGUCGCAUCACCGUUCGGCUUUUGUGGGCAAGAAACUUCUGUUGGAAUUUUUUGUCCUAAAACUCGUAGUUUGUAAAUCAUAUUCUGUUCAAUAAAGUUGUUAUUGAGAAAUUAAAUAUUAUAAUCUUAAAUCCAAUAAAUCAAGUUCCAAGGCUAUUUUUUGAAUAAACUUGAACUUUAUGUGUAAACAUAAACGUGGAUCAAGUUCGAGUAUAUAGCCUAAAUAGUCUAUAGUAUAUGAAAUAAAGGUUGGGCGCCUUAUUUAGAGAAACUAUGAUGCGGCCACUUUGUAGUACAAACGAGGUGAUCCUAAUCGUUCAUGUAGAGACAUGAAAGUGGGGGCAUCCUAUGUAAAAUGUUUACAUAAGUCUGA